UCCACUUGGCCUCCUGACAGAAAGUGAGGUCUAAAGCACAUUCAUCCUGGGCCUGGGCUUUUUUGGCCUAAACUCAAGACUCUUGUAGGACAAACAAAAAUGAAAUCCCAAAUGUUAUCACCCUGCCUGAAGAAGUCAAGCGGGUUGAAAUGAAUGCCCUGCACACGCAUGAGACGGGCCGCUCUCCCCCCCUGUUCAGAAGGACGACCUUUGAAACUGUAAGCAGAAAUAAACCUCCCCUACCUUCAGUUGUUCCUGCUCUGUAUUUUGUCACAGUGAUGAGCUCGUCCACAAGAGCAACAUCAAGAAGCAUCUUCUAACCUUUAAACAUCUACAGAAGAAAAACAAUAACAAGAACAACCAUUGUGGUGCAGAUGGCCAGAGUUUGGAAAAUGAAGACCACGUCAUCAGAAAGAAAACAGAAAAAUCACCUUCCGUGACGACAAGCUGUGUAGACGGUACCUUCUUCACUGCCAACCACGAAGUUGUUGACGUCUCCCGUUGGGAAGGCCAUUCCCGUAACAGCGACAGGCUUGGACUUAUUGUACACCAGCUCCAUGCUCUCCUACCAAAACACGGUGUGGUUACAUUUCCAUCUGUCAACCCCUCACCAUGCCAAAGACAGCAUGGAAAAAUCAUUUGGCCAAAUCGUCUGCUUGCUUUUCACACAGCACUACAAAAGACCCCCACAGUGCUAGAAGCCAGGCUCUCCUGCCCCUGACAUCCAGGCUGCUCCGUGUCUCUGGUUUCAGGCCGGCUGGAUUUCAUCAGCAUGGGCCGCUGCUUCCCCAGCCAGGCAGAGAUGACAGUGAAAAGCACGGGUCAUUGCUGUGAACUUGAAGGCUACCUGGAGUUUUUAGCAAGAGUCAAAUGGAACUUUGCUAUUGACCACUGACACUUAGCACAUAUCACCCAAACUAUUAUAAUCAGUUCAGAAACCUGAAGGUCAAGAAGAGUCAUAGAUCCAAAGGACCAUGAAAGAACAGCCUACUUAAUGGAAAGAAACAAGCAAAAUCUCUACUUAAUGGAAAGAAAAGGCAAAAAGGUAACAGUGUAGCCCCCUUUUUCCAAUAGAAAUGUCAGCUUGCUUUUAUUUACUUCAGGAAUAAACAUGCUGUGUGGCAGAAGGAUUUU
Long non-coding RNA from Peromyscus leucopus (white-footed mouse), 1134 nucleotides. RefSeq lists it as uncharacterized. The transcript has 5 exons. The record is from RefSeq and is a predicted model, not a curated record. Lineage: Eukaryota; Metazoa; Chordata; Mammalia; Rodentia; Cricetidae.